GCUGGCGGCAGGCCUAACACAUGCAAGUCGAGCGGAUGAUGGGAGCUUGCUCCUGGAUUCAGCGGCGGACGGGUGAGUAAUGCCUAGGAAUCUGCCUGAUAGUGGGGGACAACGUUUCGAAAGGAACGCUAAUACCGCAUACGUCCUACGGGAGAAAGCAGUGGACCUUCGGGCCUUGCGCUAUCAGAUGAGCCUAGGUCGGAUUAGCUUGUUGGUGAGGUAAUGGCUCACCAAGGCGACGAUCCGUAACUGGUCUGAGAGGAUGAUCAGUCACACUGGAACUGAGACACGGUCCAGACUCCUACGGGAGGCAGCAGUGGGGAAUAUUGGACAAUGGGCGAAAGCCUGAUCCAGCCAUGCCGCGUGUGUGAAGAAGGUCUUCGGAUUGUAAAGCACUUUAAGUUGGGAGGAAGGGUUGUAGAUUAAUACUCUGCAAUUUUGACGUUACCGACAGAAUAAGCACCGGCUAACUCUGUGCCAGCAGCCGCGGUAAUACAGAGGGUGCAAGCGUUAAUCGGAAUUACUGGGCGUAAAGCGCGCGUAGGUGGUUUGUUAAGUUGGAUGUGAAAGCCCCGGGCUCAACCUGGGAACUGCAUCCAAAACUGGCAAGCUAGAGUACGGUAGAGGGUGGUGGAAUUUCCUGUGUAGCGGUGAAAUGCGUAGAUAUAGGAAGGAACACCAGUGGCGAAGGCGACCACCUGGACUGAUACUGACACUGAGGUGCGAAAGCGUGGGGAGCAAACAGGAUUAGAUACCCUGGUAGUCCACGCCGUAAACGAUGUCAACGAGCCGUUGGAAUCCUUGAGAUUUUAG
This 813-nucleotide ribosomal RNA is filed under the name Pseudomonas fulva. RNAcentral's name for it is "bacterial SSU rRNA". It matches the Rfam family "Bacterial small subunit ribosomal RNA", at positions 35 to 843 of the family's 1533-position model. Lineage: Bacteria; Pseudomonadati; Pseudomonadota; Gammaproteobacteria; Pseudomonadales; Pseudomonadaceae. The record is from RNAcentral.